ACAUUUUCCACCAAAGAUGAAUUAACUAACCAUGAUUCAAUUUUACCACUGUAUAUUUACAGUCCAGUAAGUUAUAUUGAGACAAAAUUGGUACUUAGGACAGUCUAGGAUCUUCCAUCUAUACAAGAAGCGUGUGACAUGGCACAGUCAAACUCGUCAUAUAUCUGUUAACCAUACUUCCUGUAAAAGGCAGAAGCCUCACACAGCCCAGUAACUUUGCUAGUACCUCUUGAGUGCAAGGUGGAGAAUUAAGAUCUGGAUUUGAGACGGAGCACAGAACAUUUCACUCAGGGGAAGAGCUAUGAACAUGCUGACUGCCAGCCUGCUGAGGGCAGUCAUAACCUCCAUCUGUAUUGGAUCCAGCAUGGCUCAGAAGGUAACUCAAGCUCAGACUGAAAUUUCUGUGGUGGAGAAGGAGGAUGUGAACUUGGACUGUGUGUAUGAAACCCGUGAUUCUACUUAUUACUUAUUCUGGUACAAGCAACCACCAAGUGGAGAAUUGAUUUUCCUUAUUCGUCAGAACUCUUUUAAUGAGCAAAAUGAAAUAAACGGUCGGUAUUCUUCGAACUUCCAGAAAUCCACCAGUUCCUUCAACCUCACCAUCACAGCCUCACAAGUCGUGGACUCAGCAGUAUACUUCUGUGCUCUGAAUGAAGCCACAGUGAGAUGGGUGUUGGUGGGAACCCUACAAAAACCUCAACAAGAGACAGGGCUCCUGGGGAGAGACUCCGUCACAGACAGGAAGAAGCAAGUUGGGGCUGUGUCAGCACAGGUGGUUUGGCAAGGAAACCUGAGUUCAAUUCAUGUACAAUGUCUAGAUAUAUCAUUUAUUAGAAGCAUGGGUGUCUUCUAUUCUUUAGAAUAGAUUGAGACAGAAUAUCUAGCACAUAUUUUUAUAUCAUAUAUAGAAUUAUGCAACAAAAAGUGCAAAAACAAAAUAUAUUAAUCUCGUGUUGGUUUUAUUGAGGGUGGGAAAUUAUCCGAUUAUCUUCAGACCAAAUGGAUGAUUCCAUUCAUAAGCUGUUAAGUUUUCAGAAUG
Rhinopithecus roxellana (golden snub-nosed monkey) is the source of this 1039-nucleotide non-coding RNA. The record is from the annotation of a RefSeq genome assembly. NCBI's taxonomy places the organism in Eukaryota, Metazoa, Chordata, Mammalia, Primates, Cercopithecidae.